Molecule: ribosomal RNA, 1171 nt
Filed under: uncultured bacterium
Lineage: Bacteria
Description: bacterial SSU rRNA
Rfam family: Bacterial small subunit ribosomal RNA
Source: RNAcentral
UACGGGAGGCAGCAGUGGGGAAUAUUGGACAAUGGGGGCAACCCUGAUCCAGCAAUGCCGCGUGUGUGAAGAAGGCCUUCGGGUUGUAAAGCACUUUUAUCAGGAACGAAACGCGCUUGGUGAAUAGCCAGGUGAACUGACGGUACCUGAGGAAUAAGCACCGGCUAACUUCGUGCCAGCAGCCGCGGUAAUACGAAGGGUGCAAGCGUUACUCGGAAUUACUGGGCGUAAAGGGUGCGUAGGUGGUUGUUUAAGUCUGCUGUGAAAGCCCCGGGCUCAACCUGGGAAUGGCAGUGGAUACUGGGCAGCUAGAAUGCGGUAGAGGGUAGUGGAAUUCCCGGUGUAGCAGUGAAAUGCGUAGAGAUCGGGAGGAACACCAGUGGCGAAGGCGGCUACCUGGACCAGCAUUGACACUCAAGCACGAAAGCGUGGGGAGCAAACAGGAUUAGAUACCCUGGUAGUCCACGCCCUAAACGAUGCGAACUGGACGUUGGGAGCAACUUGGCUCUCAGUGUCGAAGCUAACGCGUUAAGUUCGCCGCCUGGGGAGUACGGUCGCAAGACUGAAACUCAAAGGAAUUGACGGGGGCCCGCACAAGCGGUGGAGUAUGUGGUUUAAUUCGAUGCAACGCGAAGAACCUUACCUGGCCUUGACAUGUCCGGAAUCGAGCAGAGAUGCUUGAGUGCCUUCGGGAAUCGGAACACAGGUGCUGCAUGGCUGUCGUCAGCUCGUGUCGUGAGAUGUUGGGUUAAGUCCCGCAACGAGCGCAACCCUUGUCCUUAGUUGCCAGCGAGUAAUGUCGGGAACUCUAAGGAGACUGCCGGUGACAAACCGGAGGAAGGUGGGGAUGACGUCAAGUCCUCAUGGCCCUUACGGCCAGGGCUACACACGUACUACAAUGGUCGGUACAGAGGGUUGCGAAGCCGCGAGGUGGAGCCAAUCCCAGAAAGCCGAUCCCAGUCCGGAUCGAAGUCUGCAACUCGACUUCGUGAAGUCGGAAUCGCUAGUAAUCGCGGAUCAGCUAUGCCGCGGUGAAUACGUUCCCGGGCCUUGUACACACCGCCCGUCACACCAUGGGAGUGGGUUGCUCCAGAAGCAGGUAGUCUAACCGCAAGGAGGACGCUUGCCACGGAGUGGUUCAUGACUGGGGUGAAGUCGUAACAAGGUAACC